AGUUCGAUCCUGGCUCAGAUUGAACGCUGGCGGGAUCUUUACACGGCGUACAGUCGAACAGCGGCAGCACGGACUUCGGUCUGGCGAAAGCGAUGGCGAACGGGUGAGUAAUGUAUCGGAACGUGCUGCCUAGUAGCGGGGGAUAACUACGCGAAAGCGUAGCUAAUACCGCAUACGCCCUUCGGAGGAAAGCAGGGGGACCUUCAGACUCACCCUGUCGAAGCGGCCGAUAUCGGAAUUCAGCUGGUUGGUGGGGUAACGGCUCGCAAGGCGACGAUCCGUAGCUGGUUUGAGAGGACGACCAGCCACACUGGGACUGAGACACGGCCCAGACUCCUACGAGGCAGCAGUGGGGAAUUUUGGACAAUGGGGGAAACCCUGAUCCAGCCAUCCACGUGUGCGAUGAAGGCCUUCGGGUUGUAAAGCCACUUUUGGCAGGAAAGAAACGGCUGGGAUAUUACCCGUGCAACUGACAAUACCUGCAGAAUAAGCACCGGCCUUCCAGUACCAGCGUAUGACAAUACGUAGGAGUGCAAGCGUUAAUCGGAAUUACUGGGCGUAAAGCGUGCGCAGGCGGUUCGGAAAGAAAGAUGUGAAAUCGGAAACGCUUUGGAACUGCAUUUUUAACUACCGAGCUAAGGAGUGUGUCAGAGGUGGAAUCCGCGUGUAGCAGUGAAAUGCGUAGAUAUGCGGAGGAACACCGAUGGCGAGCAGCCUCCUAGGAUAACACUGACGCUCAUACACGAAAGCGUGAGCAAACGAAGUUAGAUACCUGGUAGUCCACGCCUAAACGAUAUCAACCAACUAUUUGGGGCCUUCGGGGCGCGGUAACAGCUAACGCGUGAAGUUGACCGCCUGGGGAGUACGGUCGCAAGAUUAAAACUCAAAGGAAUUGACGGGGACCCGCACAAGCGGUGGAUGAUGUGGAUUAAUUCGAUGCAACGCGAAAAACCUUACCUACCCUUGACAUGUCUGGAAUCCCGAAGAGAUUUGGGAGUGCUCGCAAGAGGAACCGGAAUUACAGUGCUGCAUGGCUGUCGUCAGCUCGUGUCGUGAGAUGUUGGGUUAAGUCCACCCAACUUGAGCGCAACCCUUGUCAUUAGUUGCUACGAAAAGGGCACUCUAAUGAGACUGCCGGUGACAAACCGGAGGAAGGUGGGGAUGACGUCAGAGUCCUCGGCCCUUAUGGGUAGGGCUUCACACGUCAUACAGUGGUCGGGACAGAGGUCGCCAACCCACGAGGGGAGCCAAUCCCAGAAACCCGAUCGUAGUCCGGAUCGCAGUCUGCAACUCGACUGCGUGAAGUCCGGAAUCGCUAUUAAUCGCGGAUCAACAUCGCGGUGAAUACGUUCCCGGGUCUUGUACACACCGCCCGUCACACCAUGGGAGUGGGUUUUACCAGAAGUAGUUAGCCUAACCGUAAGGAGGGCGAUUACCACGGUAAGUUCAUGACUGGGGUGAAAUCAUGCUUUCUGAAGUA
This 1480-nucleotide ribosomal RNA is filed under the name uncultured Bordetella sp. RNAcentral's name for it is "partial 16S-23S ribosomal RNA intergenic spacer". It matches the Rfam family "Bacterial small subunit ribosomal RNA". The record is from RNAcentral. Lineage: Bacteria; Pseudomonadati; Pseudomonadota; Betaproteobacteria; Burkholderiales; Alcaligenaceae.